This 486-nucleotide ribosomal RNA is filed under the name uncultured bacterium. RNAcentral's name for it is "partial 16S ribosomal RNA". It matches the Rfam family "Bacterial small subunit ribosomal RNA", at positions 30 to 507 of the family's 1533-position model. The record is from RNAcentral.
AUUGAACGCUGGCGGCAUGCCUUACACAUGCAAGUCGAACGGCAGCACGGGUGCUUGCACCUGGUGGCGAGUGGCGAACGGGUGAGUAAUACAUCGGAACAUGUCCUGUAGUGGGGGAUAGCCCGGCGAAAGCCGGAUUAAUACCGCAUACGAUCCACGGAUGAAAGCGGGGGACCUUCGGGCCUCGCGCUAUAGGGUUGGCCGAUGGCUGAUUAGCUAGUUGGUGGGGUAAAGGCCUACCAAGGCGACGAUCAGUAGCUGGUCUGAGAGGACGACCAGCCACACUGGGACUGAGACACGGCCCAUACUCCUACGAGAGGCAGCAGUGGGGAAUUUUGGACAAUGGGCGAAAGCCUGAUCCAGCAAUGCCGCGUGUGUGAAGAAGGCCUUCGGGUUGUAAAGCACUUUUGUCCGGAAAGAAAUCCUUGACUCUAAUACAGUCGGGGGAUGACGGUACCGGAAGAAUAAGCACCGGCUAACUACGUG